This 1038-nucleotide ribosomal RNA is filed under the name Brevibacterium sp. ORG17-35. Its description in RNAcentral is "bacterial SSU rRNA". It matches the Rfam family "Bacterial small subunit ribosomal RNA", at positions 380 to 1428 of the family's 1533-position model. Lineage: Bacteria; Bacillati; Actinomycetota; Actinomycetes; Micrococcales; Brevibacteriaceae. The record is from RNAcentral.
ACCCUGAUGCAGCGACGCAGCGUGCGGGAUGACGGCCUUCGGGUUGUAAACCGCUUUCAGCAGGGAAGAAGCGAAAGUGACGGUACCUGCAGAAGAAGUACCGGCUAACUACGUGCCAGCAGCCGCGGUAAUACGUAGGGUACGAGCGUUGUCCGGAAUUAUUGGGCGUAAAGAGCUCGUAGGUGGUUGGUCACGUCUGCUGUGGAAACGCAACGCUUAACGUUGCGCGUGCAGUGGGUACGGGCUGACUAGAGUGCAGUAGGGGAGUCUGGAAUUCCUGGUGUAGCGGUGAAAUGCGCAGAUAUCAGGAGGAACACCGGUGGCGAAGGCGGGACUCUGGGCUGUAACUGACACUGAGGAGCGAAAGCAUGGGGAGCGAACAGGAUUAGAUACCCUGGUAGUCCAUGCCGUAAACGUUGGGCACUAGGUGUGGGGGACAUUCCACGUUCUCCGCGCCGUAGCUAACGCAUUAAGUGCCCCGCCUGGGGAGUACGGUCGCAAGGCUAAAACUCAAAGGAAUUGACGGGGGCCCGCACAAGCGGCGGAGCAUGCGGAUUAAUUCGAUGCAACGCGAAGAACCUUACCAAGGCUUGACAUACACUGGACCGUUCUGGAAACAGUUCUUCUCUUUGGAGCUGGUGUACAGGUGGUGCAUGGUUGUCGUCAGCUCGUGUCGUGAGAUGUUGGGUUAAGUCCCGCAACGAGCGCAACCCUCGUUCUAUGUUGCCAGCACGUGAUGGUGGGAACUCAUAGGAGACUGCCGGGGUCAACUCGGAGGAAGGUGGGGAUGACGUCAAAUCAUCAUGCCCUUUAUGUCUUGGGCUUCACGCAUGCUACAAUGGCUGGUACAGAGAGAGGCGAACCCGUGAGGGUAAGCGAAUCCCUUAAAGCCAGUCUCAGUUCGGAUCGUAGUCUGCAAUUCGACUACGUGAAGUCGGAGUCGCUAGUAAUCGCAGAUCAGCAACGCUGCGGUGAAUACGUUCCCGGGCCUUGUACACACCGCCCGUCAAGUCACGAAAGUCGGUAACACCCGAAGCC